CAUCAUUUUUUUUUUUUUGCGAAACUAAGGUUUUACAACUUCCAUUGGGCAAAUGUGUUGGGAAUGGUCAAUAUUUUAAAAUUUUGAGAUGGUGUACAAAAAAACAAUAGAACCUCGACUUUGCAGAAAUUUUAUGACCGUCAUAUUUUUUACGUGAAUCUAAGCUUAUACAACUUCUCUAGGGCUAAUAUCCCAAAGAUCGAUAAUUCUCUUCCAAAGAAGAGGUAGGGAGGCGACCCUUGAGAUAGGCGGUGAGAAGCGACUGAGGGCAAGGGCACCUCGCGGGCAGCACGCGCUCCUGUGCCCUCAAUGGCGAGUGCGAGGGCGGCUUAGGGUAGGGACGACGGUUGCUUCUUCCUUGGGCUACUUGGCUCAUACAAAUUUUAUUGGGCUAAUAUGUUAGGAAUGAUCAAUAUUUUGACUUUUCGAGAUUGUGCGCAAAAAAAUCAUUCGAAACUUAACUUUGCACAAACAUUAUAACCAUCACAUUUUUUUUGCGAAACCAGGCUUAUACAACUUCCCUAAGGCUAAUAUGUUAGGAAUGGUCAAUAUUUUAAAAUUUGGAGACGGUGCAUAAAAAACUGAUUGAACCUCGACUUUGCGCAAUCUUUAUGACCAUCAUGUUUUUCCGUGAAACCAAUCUCAUAGGAAUUCCCUAGGGCAAAUACGUUAGGAAUGAUUAAUUUUUUGAAUUUUUGAGAUGGUGCACAACGAACCUAUCAAACCAUGACUUUGCACAAAAUUUAUGACUGCCACGUUUUUUUACGAAGCCUAGCAUAUAUGACUUCCCGAAGGCAAAUAUAUUGGGAAUGGUCAAUAUUUUAAAUUUUUGAGGGAUCGUAAAAAACCGAUCGAACCUUGCCGCUUUGCAAAUCUGAUGACCGUCACGUCUUUUUGCAAAACCAGCUUGAACAACUUCCCUAGAGCUAAUAUGUUUGGAAUGGUCAAUAUUUCGAAUAUUCGAGAAGGUGCACAAAAACUUGAUCGAACCUCGACUUUGCGCAAACUUUAUAAUCGUCACAUUUUUUUGAAAAACCAAGCUUAAACAUCUUCUAU
Molecule: long non-coding RNA, 1056 nt
Filed under: Musa acuminata (dwarf banana)
Lineage: Eukaryota; Viridiplantae; Streptophyta; Magnoliopsida; Zingiberales; Musaceae
Description: long non-coding RNA (MACU_LNC000545)
Source: RNAcentral